This 73-nucleotide transfer RNA is filed under the name Candidatus Pacearchaeota archaeon. RNAcentral describes it as "tRNA-Gln". It matches the Rfam family "tRNA". Rfam says of the family: Transfer RNA (tRNA) molecules are approximately 80 nucleotides in length. Their secondary structure includes four short double-helical elements and three loops (D, anti-codon, and T loops). Further hydrogen bonds mediate the characteristic L-shaped molecular structure. tRNAs have two regions of fundamental functional importance: the anti-codon, which is responsible for specific mRNA codon recognition, and the 3' end, to which the tRNAs corresponding amino acid is attached (by aminoacyl-tRNA synthetases). tRNAs cope with the degeneracy of the genetic code in two manners: having more than one tRNA (with a specific anti-codon) for a particular amino acid; and 'wobble' base-pairing, i.e. permitting non-standard base-pairing at the 3rd anti-codon position. The record is from RNAcentral. Lineage: Archaea; Nanobdellati.
AGCCCCGUCGUCCAGCGGUCAAGGAUACAAGCCUUUGGAGCUUGGGACCCAGGUUCGAAUCCUGGCGGGGCUA